Molecule: ribosomal RNA, 289 nt
Filed under: uncultured Pseudomonadota bacterium
Lineage: Bacteria; Pseudomonadati; Pseudomonadota
Description: uncultured proteobacterium partial 16S ribosomal RNA
Source: RNAcentral
CUACCGGGGUAUCUAAUCCUGUUUGCUCCCCACGCUUUCGUGCCUGAGCGUCAAUAAUGAUCCAGUUGGGCGCCUACGCCACCGGUAUUCCUCCUAAUAUCUACGAAUUUCACCUCUACACUAGGAAUUCUCCCAACCUCUAUCAUAUUCUAGAAAGGCAGUUUCAAAAGCAGUUCCAGGGUUGAGCCCUGGGCUUUCACUUCUGACUUGCCAAUCCGCCUGCGCACGCUUUACGCCCAGUGAUUCCGAACAACGCUCGCUCCCCCCGUAUUACCGCGGCUGCUGGCAC